UACGAAGGGGGCUAGCGUUGCUCGGAAUUACUGGGCGUAAAGGGCGCGUAGGCGGCACUGUUAGUCAGGCGUGAAAGUCCUGGGCUCAACCUGGGAACUGCGCUUGAUACGGCAGAGCUAGAGGAUGGAAGAGGGUCGCGGAAUUCCCAGUGUAGAGGUGAAAUUCGUAGAUAUCCGGAAGAACACCGGAGGCGAAGGCGGCUUGCUGGACCUGGUCUGACGCUGAGGCGCGAAAGCGUGGGGAGCGAACAGG
Molecule: ribosomal RNA, 253 nt
Filed under: uncultured bacterium
Lineage: Bacteria
Description: partial 16S ribosomal RNA
Rfam family: Bacterial small subunit ribosomal RNA
Source: RNAcentral